Molecule: ribosomal RNA, 182 nt
Filed under: Staphylococcus aureus
Lineage: Bacteria; Bacillati; Bacillota; Bacilli; Caryophanales; Staphylococcaceae
Description: partial 16S ribosomal RNA
Rfam family: Bacterial small subunit ribosomal RNA
Source: RNAcentral
UUUUAUGGAGAGUUUGAUCCUGGCUCAGGAUAAACGCUGGCGGCGUGCCUAAUACAUGCAAGUCGAGCGAACGGACGAGAAGCUUGCUUCUCUGAUGUUAGCGGCGGACGGGGGAGUAACACGUGGAUAACCUACCUAUAAGACUGGGAUAACUUCGGGAAACCGGAGCUAAUACCGGAUAA